GCGGGUAUAGUUAAAUGGUAUAACCACUCGGUUUAGGUUCACAAGUAGCUUGUGCACGACCCGAGAGUUACAAGUUCAACUCUUGUUACCCGCG
This 94-nucleotide transfer RNA is filed under the name bacterium. Its description in RNAcentral is "tRNA-OTHER". It matches the Rfam family "tRNA". Rfam says of the family: Transfer RNA (tRNA) molecules are approximately 80 nucleotides in length. RNAcentral also lists the same sequence under 1 other name. The record is from RNAcentral.